This 513-nucleotide ribosomal RNA is filed under the name uncultured bacterium. Its description in RNAcentral is "bacterial SSU rRNA". It matches the Rfam family "Bacterial small subunit ribosomal RNA", at positions 9 to 517 of the family's 1533-position model. The record is from RNAcentral.
GAGCUUGAUCUUGGCUCAGAUUGAACGCUGGCGGUAGGCCUAACACAUGCAAGUCGAGCGGUAGAGAGAAGCUUGCUUCUCUUGAGAGCGGCGGACGGGUGAGUAAUGCCUAGGAAUCUGCCUGGUAGUGGGGGAUAACGCUCGGAAACGGACGCUAAUACCGCAUACGUCCUACGGGAGAAAGCAGGGGACCUUCGGGCCUUGCGCUAUCAGAUGAGCCUAGGUCGGAUUAGCUAGUUGGUGAGGUAAUGGCUCACCAAGGCGACGAUCCGUAACUGGUCUGAGAGGAUGAUCAGUCACACUGGAACUGAGACACGGUCCAGACUCCUACGGGAGGCAGCAGUGGGGAAUAUUGGACAAUGGGCGAAAGCCUGAUCCAGCCAUGCCGCGUGUGUGAAGAAGGUCUUCGGAUUGUAAAGCACUUUAAGUUGGGAGGAAGGGCAGUAAAUUAAUACUUUGCUGUUUUGACGUUACCGACAGAAUAAGCACCGGCUAACUCUGUGCCAGCCGCCG